UACGUAGGGGGCAAGCGUUAUCCGGAAUUACUGGGUGUAAAGGGAGCGUAGACGGUAAUGUAAGUCUGGAGUGAAAGGCGGGGGCCCAACCCCCGGACUGCUCUGGAAACUAUGUUACUAGAGUGCAGGAGAGGUAAGCGGAAUUCCUAGUGUAGCGGUGAAAUGCGUAGAUAUUAGGAGGAACACCAGUGGCGAAGGCGGCUUACUGGACUGUAACUGACGCUGAGGCGCGAAAGCGUGGGGAGCAAACAGG
RNAcentral lists this ribosomal RNA (253 nucleotides) under uncultured bacterium. Its description in RNAcentral is "partial 16S ribosomal RNA". It matches the Rfam family "Bacterial small subunit ribosomal RNA", at positions 524 to 776 of the family's 1533-position model. The record is from RNAcentral.